GAAGGAACGUUGAAGACGACGACGUUGAUAGGCCGGGUGUGUAAGCGCAGCGAUGCGUUGAGCUAACCGGUACUAAUGAACCGUGAGGCUUAACCUUACAACGCCGAAG
This 109-nucleotide ribosomal RNA is filed under the name Escherichia coli. RNAcentral describes it as "partial 23S ribosomal RNA". The stretch from base 1 to 97 matches the Rfam family "Bacterial large subunit ribosomal RNA", at positions 2828 to 2925 of the family's 2925-position model. Lineage: Bacteria; Pseudomonadati; Pseudomonadota; Gammaproteobacteria; Enterobacterales; Enterobacteriaceae. RNAcentral also lists the same sequence under 45 other names. The record is from RNAcentral.